AAUCCAUAGGUUAAUGAGGCGAACCGGGGGAACUGAAACAUCUAAGUACCCCGAGGAAAAGAAAUCAACCGAGAUUCCCCCAGUAGCGGCGAGCGAACGGGGAGGAGCCCAGAGCCUGAAUCAGCAUGUGUGUUAGUGGAAGCGUCUGGAAAGGCGCGCGAUACAGGGUGACAGCCCCGUACACAAAAGCGCAUGUGCUGUGAGCUCGAUGAGUAGGGCGGGACACGUGGUAUCCUGUCUGAAUAUGGGGGGACCAUCCUCCAAGGCUAAAUACUCCUGACUGACCGAUAGUGAACCAGUACCGUGAGGGAAAGGCGAAAAGAACCCCGGCGAGGGGAGUGAAAAAGAACCUGAAACCGUGUACGUACAAGCAGUGGGAGCACCCUUCGGGGUGUGACUGCGUACCUUUUGUAUAAUGGGUCAGCGACUUAUAUUCUGUAGCAAGGUUAACCGUAUAGGGGAGCCGUAGGGAAACC
This 476-nucleotide ribosomal RNA is filed under the name Salmonella enterica subsp. enterica serovar Virchow. Its description in RNAcentral is "partial 23S ribosomal RNA". It matches the Rfam family "Bacterial large subunit ribosomal RNA", at positions 161 to 678 of the family's 2925-position model. The record is from RNAcentral. Lineage: Bacteria; Pseudomonadati; Pseudomonadota; Gammaproteobacteria; Enterobacterales; Enterobacteriaceae.